RNA transcript from Piliocolobus tephrosceles (Ugandan red Colobus), 2034 nucleotides. It is a transcript of the gene named Purkinje cell protein 2, with no coding region annotated. The record is from RefSeq and is a predicted model, not a curated record. The transcript has 3 exons. NCBI's taxonomy places the organism in Eukaryota, Metazoa, Chordata, Mammalia, Primates, Cercopithecidae.
CCUCCCUGCCGUCGGUUCUCGCCCAGGCCCAGGAAGUUGAGUCCCUGGCGGGGAGGACAGGCAGGUGCGUCCGCGCUGCCGAGCACCAAGUCGCUGGAGGGGCACACCUCGAUGACACGCUCACAGACGGGAGUUCAGACACACACUUCCUGGCUUGCGUGCGAAGCGGGAUCGCAGGGCAAUAAUCCCUCCAUCUUCCCCGGGAGGUUGGGUGACUGCAAGAUACACGCGCCCACUCGAUGCCACCGGGCCGCCACCGUCUGGGCCUGGGAUCUUGACCCACUUGUCUUCUGUACUUCAGGGUUUAGAGGCGGCAGCAGCAGCAGCCGUCUUGGAUAACUUUUGAUGGAUUCAGGAGGACUGGAGACCUCUUGUGUGCCGGCACCUGGACACAAUUUUCAUUCAGUCCUGCCCGAUGCCCCGACCUGGACUGCGGUGCCGAUGAGGAAACCGAGGCUUAGCGGGAUCCCUAAUCCAAGGCCACGACGACUGAGCCUGCUGGGAUUCCAGCCAGGAGCCUGUCCCUGGGGAGCACUUGUCACAGCCUUACCCUCUUCCAGAAGGCGCCACAUUUACCCUUGUGGACCGACAAUCGAAUUAACAUGCUGAUACACACGAGGAGCUGCUUCUGCUGUGUGUCCUGUUACUUGGAAGGCACAGCCCCGGCAGCACCCAUACAAAAUGAGGUCUCCGAUUUAAGGUGCGAGGUGGCAGCUGCCCUUCCAGGAGCCAGUGGGGAGACCUGGGUGGCUGGGUGGGGACACCUGCCAAGUCCUCGCCUAAGCCAGCUACCACCCUACGCUGUUGGCUUCCCUUCUCCAACUGCGGGGACGCUGCUCAGGCCUUUCGUGACAUCACACCCAGGAGUCCUUGGGGUCCGGUCACUGCUCCUGGGCCCAGCGAGGUUCAAGCUCUGGUCGCCCUGCCCCCUACCCCCCAUGCCAGAUCCGGCAUCGUUGUGGGCAAACAAUUAUCUGGAUGAUCUUUAUGGGGCUUAAGCUUGGGUGGGAGCAGAUGGGGCAUGAGCUGGGGAUUUGGGGAUGGGGGGAAUCCACACCCCCACGUCCCGGACGUUUAAAAGGCCCUCUCUGGCACUGGGCCGGGGCAGAGGCCAGCAGGAAAGUGACCGGAGUCCAGGGACCUGAUGGAUCAGGAGAAGACGGAGGAGGGCUCAGGCCUCUGUGCCGAGGUGAGAGGGCCCUGCCCCCACCCCACCCCCAGCUCAAGGUCUCAGAGUCCAUGAUUGACAAGACUAAUUAGUUUGUAGGGCACCUAAUUAGCGAGUGAGUCUCCUAGGACCCCCUGACCCAGUUGUGGCUGUAGAAGGGGCUGGUGGGCCUGGGGGUCUCAGUGCCAGGCCGGAGGGCAGAGGGCAGGGCUGUCUGUGUGGACCCCUAUUGAUGGGAGAUGCUGGGACCUGGGGGUAGCUCCUGGGCCAUGUUUCCCUGACUUGUGUCCCAGCUCCCAGGCCACACUCAUCAGGCCCCAAUCUAGGACAGCAGGACGCUGGCAUCGGAGCCUGUCCCUUGAGACGGUACCACGUGAAGUGGCACUGCCGGCUGGGGCCCCUGGGGCGGGGGCCGGGAUUGGGAAGGAGACUCAUGUCUCAUUCAGAACAGCUCUGCAGAGCGGAUCGGCGGGGACCAUGGUGAGAGCUGAGGAAGAGGGGACAGCAGGCCCCGGGGUCGGGUGUGAGCAGGCUGGCUGGGAAGGUUGGGGAGGGGCCCCCAAGCUGAAGGGCCAACCGGACUGAGCGGGUCUGUCUGCAGGCGGGCUCCCCAGACCAGGAGGGCUUCUUCAAUCUGCUGAGCCACGUGCAGGGUGAUCGGAUGGAGGGGCAGCGCUGUUCACUGCAGGCUGGGCCGGGCCAGACCAAGAGCCGUGAGCAUGGGCACAGGGGUGCUGUCCAUGGGGCGUGAACAGGGUGGGAGUGCAGGGCGAGUGGUCAUCUGGAGGGCCUGGGGGCACGGGGUGUGGGAGGUGGUUGUGCACCCUGAAGCAUCGGCAUGGGGGUGAAGGGGUAGGGUUGGGGGC